CCCUUAGAUGUCCUGGGCCGCACGCGCGCUACACUGAGUGUCUGAGAUACGAGUCUGCCUGGUCCGGCAAGGUCUAGGUAAUCGCUAAAAGACACAUCAUGCUUGGGAUAGAUUAUUGCAAAUAUUAAUCUUGAACGAGGAAUUCCUAGUAAGCGCAAGUCAACAGCUUGCGUUGAUUACGUCCCUGCCCUUUGUACACACCGCCCGUCGCUACUACGGAUUGGAUGUUUAAGCGAGGUUCUCGAACUGCUAGCGACUUAGCUUCGGUGAGGUCGCAGUGUGGGAAGUGAACCUAGCUUUGGUGUCUAGAGGAAGUAAAAGUCGUAACA
Molecule: ribosomal RNA, 329 nt
Filed under: uncultured eukaryote
Lineage: Eukaryota
Description: partial 18S ribosomal RNA
Rfam family: Eukaryotic small subunit ribosomal RNA
Source: RNAcentral